GAGACAAGAUUUCGUCAUGUUGCCCAGGCUGGUCUCGAACUCCUGGCCUCAAGAAAUCCACCUGCCUCAGUCCCCCGAAGUGCUUGGAUUACAGGCGUGAGCCACGGCACCAUUAAAUUUUACGUCUAAUGCAGACUGUGGACCACAAGAAAUGCUAGCAUUGUCGGGAUCGGCUUACUCGAAAUGGCUUCUCACUAUGUUGCCCAGGCUGAUCUCGAACUCUGAGCUCAAGUCAUCCUUCUGCCUCGUCCUCUCAAAUUGCAAGAAUCACAGGCAAGAGCCAUGGAGCCCAGCGCCUUUGCUUUUCUACGUGAACUUAGUAUGGGAAUCCUCAGGCUGACUCCGAGGUCAUUUGUCCCUCACCCGCAUUCAAGGAAUAGAUUCUCCCAUCCUCAACAUUUGCCAUCAGAAAGACGUAGCUGCCAUCCAACUUAAGCUGCCCUUGCUGGAAUUUAGAUGAAUUUCCCUGUUCUCUUUUUAGGAUGUCAUUAAGGUGAGGAUCCCCAGAGCAGAUCAUCCUAGAUUCAGAGUACCUGCUACCUCCAAUGACUGGCAUGCUCAUAAGAGAAAGGAGAGGGAGAUUUGAGACGCAGAGACACAUAGGGAAAGGUGGCAUGAAGAUGAAGGCAGAGGCCAGACACAGUGGCUCACACCUUAAUCCCAACACUCUGGGAGGCCGAGGUGGGUGGAUCCCUUGAGGCCAGGAGUUUGAAACCAGC
Long non-coding RNA from Piliocolobus tephrosceles (Ugandan red Colobus), 719 nucleotides. RefSeq lists it as uncharacterized. NCBI's taxonomy places the organism in Eukaryota, Metazoa, Chordata, Mammalia, Primates, Cercopithecidae. The record is from RefSeq and is a predicted model, not a curated record. The transcript is spliced from 3 exons.